GGGUGUCAUAUAUUACUGAGGUUUGGGGAACAGUUCUUUAAUUCAUUUAAUUUAGAUCUAUUGAAUCCAUUUAAUUUAUCCUCAUACCAGUAACAGCAGCAUCAACUUGAAAUUUGUUAGAGCUGUAAAUUCUUCGGCCAGCCAGACCUGCUGAAUCAGAAACUCUGGGGUGUCUACCCAGUGACCUGGGUUUUAACAAGCACCCAGGUGACUCUGAUGCAUAAUGAAGUUUGAGAAAACUGCUCUAAUUCUUCCUCUUCUCCUCUUCUAGGCUCUCAUCCUCUCUUGAGUCUCUUUGACUACAAUCUCUCCACUCCCAAUUGUCGUUUAUACAGCUGUCAAAGGGCUCGUUCUAGAGCAUAUUUAUUAUGUCACGUUUCCUAAAGUACCUUAUACUUAUCCUCAAGUGGUCGUCAGGGUAAGCAUCAGGUAAGUAUUCACUCUGUGGUAAUGGCCACUAUUGUCAUCGUUCUCUGUAUCACUUUUGCCAUCAGCAGUAGCAUCCUCCAUUGAUCAAAUACUUAAUUACGAUUAUUUUGUUAAGUUUGGGAAAUCAUCCUCCUUUUUGGCAAACAUUCUCAAUAUACCAGCUUUUCUUGUAUUAGGCAUCUAGCUUACAACUUAUACUAAGAAUCUCAGGUAUGGCUGUUUCUGACUUUGAAGUAGGAGUGAGCAAUGUGGAGAAGCAGUGCUGAAUGUGGAGAAUUCAUGCUGGCAGUGAGACUGCAGCAACUACAGCUGCUAAUGGUAGGGCCAGCAUCCAGAGGUGUCUGUACAGAAGCUGUUAGCACAGUGCGGACAAAGGUGUCAUAUGAGGCUGAUUUGGGGGCUAAUUUGCUGUGGCUUAGGUUGUUUAGCUUCUCUUUCUUUGCCUGUGUUCUAUAUCUGAUUUUCUAGGUUUUUAGAGGAUUCCGUGAGUUACUCUUGCUUGAUCUGUUUAAAAAUGUGCUUGCUUUUCUUGGGCAUAAACAGCCAAUCACAGUGUCUCUUGCUUACAGUGAAGCAAUUGACCAGUGCAAGCCUCAAACUUUACUUCUAGAUUCAUCGCUUAUCACUUUCCUUCCCUGCAAACCUAAGGUUUCAACAGUCCUGGAGCAUUCACCAUUUCACAAAUACAUCACAUCAUUUUUUGUUUCUUUAUAUGCACUUAGAAUGCCCUGUCUGCCUGAGAAAUUCUUCUUGUCACCAUUUUGCCAGGUAAAAUCCUAUUUAUCCUUUAACACCCACUAAUUCUUGCCAAAAUUAAUUUCUCACUAUUGAUGAUUGGAUAUAUAAUGGGCAUCCUACUUGUAUUCUGAUCAAGAACACUGAAAUAAAACCCUGAGAUAUUUAGAAAAACACCUGACAAGAGUCUCAAAAACUUCUUUUAUCUAGUAGGUCAGUAGGACCCACCCCAUCCAUCAUUUCCAUAACUGACACUGCCUGCUUUCCUACUGGGGGAUUUAUAUCAUUUAGGCAUUAUAAUUGAGUAAAAGAUAAUAUAUGUUUUAGCAUCCUGGCAUAACUAGUCCAGGAUGAAAAUUAUUGAUAAAAGGAAACAAUGUAUAGUCAUUUGCCACAUAAGGAUGUUUAGGUUGAUGACAAACCACAUGUAUAACUGUGGACCCAUGAGAUUAUAGUAUUGUAUUUUCACCUUUUCUACAUUUAGUUAUGUUUAGAUGCACAAAUACUUACGAUUGUGUUAUAAUUGCCUACAGUAUUCACUACAGUAACAAGAUAUUCAAGUUUGUAACCCAAGAGCAAUAGUUUAUACCAUAUAGCCUGUAGCAUUGAGGUUUGUGUAAGUAUACUCCGAUGUUCACACAACAAAAUCACCUCAUGAUGGAUUUCUUAAAACACAUUCCUUUUGUAAACCAACACAUGACUGUAUAAACAAAGCCAUGAGGUCAACUUGUCUCAUAUUGUACUUAGGCCCAGUACUGCAUAUUGUGUGUGACCCUCUGAUGUGUAUUCUGCCCUCUCUCAUUUGUGUAUCAGCCAAGUGGUUUAGGGACUGACCCUAGUUCCAAACGUGUACCCUGAUUAGUUGGAGGCAGCAAUGAUUACUGAUGGUUUAGGAACUCAAACAUAAGCCAAUCCCACAUGAUAUUAUCCUUGGCUAAGUGAAAAGUUUGGCCCAAUAAAUUUUUGAUUAUCUGCCUACCUCAGCCACUUCCAUUUUAAAAUCUAUUUUUCUGGACACAAAAAGGAAACAAGGAACUUUAAUGACCAUCGUGAACCAAACUACAACACCAAGUUUAAAGUUACCAUGGUAGACAGUGAGGGACUGUGUUAAAGGAAAAAAACCUGUCUUUCCAGGUCCACAAAGGGUGUGAUUUCAAAGGCAAGAACUUCCCAGCGCCAUGUCUCCAUCCACCUCCCCAUCUGGGAACCUAGAGUUCUUUGUCUGACUUUCCCACAUGCCGGCCAGGUAAAAUUCCAGGGCCUCUCUCUGUUGCCCAGGCUGGAGCGCAGCGGCACAGUCAUGGUUCACCACAGCUUUGACCUCCAGGGCUCAAGGGCUUCUCCCACCUCAGCUCCUUGAGUAGCUGGGACUACAGAUAAGCACCAUCACACUCCAGUGAGGAGACAGAGGCCUGGAAGAAUGCAGUGCCUUUUUGCAGUUAUUCAUGUUUUAGGACCAUUCUUCUUUAUCAAGCUUUAGAACAAAAUCAUGGUAAGAUUUACUGCACUAUUCACCGUGCAAUAACCAAGCUUUGUAAGUGAAGUUAUAAAGACAGGUAACUUCACUCUUGAGGAAUGGUAUUAUUCAGACAGAAAUUUAUAUUAAUUAAAAAGUGGUUAAUAACACAAACAAGCAGAAAAAUAUAAGGAUGUCUUUCUCCAUUAACUGAAGUUUUAUAAAGGGAAAUUUCUGUAACUGACAUUCCUGUAUAUUUUUCUGUCACAGCUAACAGCAUGAGAAUGUUCCUGGCAAUGCUCUCCUGCUUCAGUAUUACUUAGAGCCACACCUGGACGUAGGCAAAAUAAGAAAGUGAAGAAGGCUUAUUUGUCCUAUGUGGAUCAUUCUGAUCAUUCUAAAUUAAAUGUUUGAUAUGGGGUAUAGAGACAUCUAGCUAUGGCAUAUUUAAAAUAUUAAAAGGAUUUAAGAUCUGAAAAGAUAGAAUCUCCUUGAGUUUAUCUUGUUCGUAUCUUUCCCCCACCCUCACACAUUUCCCAGCUGUUAUAAGAUGCAAUAGUUACCAAGAAAGAUGCUAGUGAAGGUUGGCUUAUAACAGAUUCUUAUGAAUAUCUCAAGCUCUGGCAGCAGUAAAUGGCUUCUUACUCAAUUCUCACAGAUUCUGAGUUCUCUGUCCCUAUGAAACCACAGCUGUAUGUGUCUUAGUUUACCUAACCCAAUAUCAACCAUAAUGGCUCAAAAAGAG
Molecule: non-coding RNA, 3365 nt
Organism: Callithrix jacchus (white-tufted-ear marmoset)
Lineage: Eukaryota; Metazoa; Chordata; Mammalia; Primates; Cebidae
Source: RefSeq, a predicted model, not a curated record